AAGUCGUAACAAGGUUUCCGUAGGUGAACCUGCGGAAGGAUCAUUAGUGAAAAUAGGGUGACUCUGCAAAGAGAAUCCCGAACCACACUUUUUCAUACACUUGUGAACUAGAACCAUUUUUUUAACAUUAAUUUGUUAAAAGAUAAACCCUUAUGUUGAUAUACAGUCUUGUGAUGUAAACAAAAUGUAAAAGUUAAAUAA
Molecule: unclassified non-coding RNA, 201 nt
Filed under: plant metagenome
Description: partial contains small subunit ribosomal RNA and internal transcribed spacer 1
Rfam family: Eukaryotic small subunit ribosomal RNA (bases 1-46)
Source: RNAcentral